Cavia porcellus (domestic guinea pig) is the source of this 4194-nucleotide long non-coding RNA. RefSeq lists it as uncharacterized. The transcript has 2 exons. The record is from RefSeq and is a predicted model, not a curated record. NCBI's taxonomy places the organism in Eukaryota, Metazoa, Chordata, Mammalia, Rodentia, Caviidae.
ACUUCUCAGAUAACAAUGUGUAAUAUAUUAACUAGUGUUGAUUUUUUUUGAAAUCCUGCAAUAUCUCUACCCUUUUGUCUGUUCUGCUUUUUAAAAAUAAAAAAAAAAUUUAAAAACUUGCAUAUACUAUUUCAUCCCCAAACUUUCUUGGCAUAUUUUUUCUUUUCCUAAUACAUGGGAUAAGGUCUUUUAGCAAACCACAAGUUACACCUCAUAGUCAGCAUUAAAUAUUGGUCACCAAAAAUGAGUGCUGGCUGGGAAGAAAUUGUUUCAUUUUUCCAUUACUUUCACCUUCAUAAUUUUUCUUUUUAUCUCUCUCCUUGACUUUCCCAAAGAAAUGAUGGGCUGGAGGAGCUCUGUGUUGUGUGGGUAAGCAGAAUACUUUCUGAAAUGCGGACAUGAUGGUGAGACAUUUCACACAACGCUCAGCAAAGCACAGGGAACUUGCAAAAACUUCCUUCAGGUUCAUGAAGAUUAAUGCUCUAUUAUGUUCUGUUAACCUGGGGCAGAAAUUGGAAGUAAAUUUGCAGGCUGUUUGGACAGAUUUAUGUCUACCCCUGAAAUGAAUAACAUCCAUAAUAUUUUAGGAGUGAAUUCAGUGCAAAGUCCACCACAAAGCAUAUGAAGUGACUUCAUAAUAUGCUGCAGCACAGUGAAAUCUCUCAUAAACCCUGGGAGGUCCUGUAAUUACUUCUCAGAUAUGGCCCAUCACCCUUGAAUUAAAGGCUAAACUUCAUAGUGAAUUCAAGGCCCAACUGCAAAUUUGUGUAUCCCUAUGUGUUGGUCAAAUUUCUCCAUAUUUUUGUGUCUUCUUUCGCCCCACUUUCUUAAAUGAACCUGCUCUCUCCUCUGCCCCUCACAAAGGAGAAUCAAGAAAUGAUUAAUGUUACUGGGAAGAAAAUUUGCGUGGUUUCUAUUCUGAUCUGUAUUGUAAGCUGUAUUCCGUGUGCAUUAGCCUAAACUGAAGAAAUUUAUGCAAUGGUAGAGGAGCAUCACCUGACAUUUACUAUAAAAUGCAAACAACAUCCAAUCAAAAGAAUAGAAAUUAAAAUUACUCACCCACCAUAUGUAUUCUUAUCAGGUCUCAUGGAUAUAUUAGAAGCAGGUAAAAUAGAAGCCAUGCUUCUAUUAUGUGAAUAUCAGUAAAGAAAUAUACUGAAAUUUGCUAUUCAAUUAUAGAUUUAAAUAUAAUAAUUCAGAUUUUAGAAUGGCACCUUCACUAAGAGGUGUUACGUUUUCUUCUCAAAUUGCUAAUGGAUCUGUUCACUUAGAAUUUUAAAACCUUUCUGUCAAUUCAAAAACAGCUCCUGAUAUGGCCUUUUAUACCUCAGCCAGUCUUUCAGAUCACCAUGUUCCCAAGAAGAUAAGCUCCUUUGGAAGGGGUGGCAUCCUGUAUCUUUGACCAGGUUGGUUCACUUGUUAACGGAUGACCACAGCACCUUUCCCUGACGUGUGACAUUUGUCCCAACAUGCGUCUUAUGAGGAUGCUCAUAGCAGUCGGAACCAAAUGUUCCAGCCUUAACUGGGGUCUCCAGUAUAAGCUUCUCCACUUCCUGGUGAUAGUGAUUAUUGGAAAACUCCAGACCCCUUUUGGUCCAUCUUGACAGCCAGUAAAGUUUUCAGAAUGGAAAGGAAAGAGAAUAAGGAUAUCUACGUCAGGAAGUCCUGGAACCCUAAAUCUUGUUAUUACUGCUUUUAGAAGGAGACAUUCACACUUCUGUCCGUUACCACACAAUCCCUGAGGAAACUUAUUUUGGAAAAGGUAAUGAUGCUUAUGAGGCAAAGUCAUCCAGAAUAUGUGUAUUGCCUUUUUAACUUGGGACAGUGAUUCCUGUUUGUUCUUUGUAAAUAUGUCUCUGACCUUGUGACUCACCUCAAGAUGCGCUACCUGUUGCUUUUUCUGAACAAUCACUGGCAAUUUUCUCAACAUAUCCACCAAGUGCCAAGGGAACCUGCACACUUUUAUUUGGUAUUCCAUGUCCUGUCUCUCCAUUUAUCUUGAGGAUAUAGUAAGGAGGAUCACCAAAUUCCAGUCUGGCAUUUACCACUGCCCCGGGAGGUGGAAAUGUUAAUUAGAUAAGUGUUAGGUAAUUAAUUACUCCUGUGAAUUAAUUAGAAUAACUUAUCUGUUUCCAGUUCAGGUUCUGCCAGUCAAUGACCUUGGCCCUGAGAGAAUGCCAGAGAAUACCAGGUAAAUCAUACAGCCUCUGUAACCAACUCCCCCAGACAUUAAGACGAAUGGUCAUCAUUUGAGUGAAAUUCAGAAUAGUCUUAUGGGUUUAUAAAAAUAGAGUAUUAAUUAAUGUCUUCUGAGCAAUCUAUUCUUUCCAGUUUUCAAUCUUCUAAAGACUCUGACAUUUUUGGCAGGCUGUUUCUUGACUUUUUUUAAAAAUUAUAUUGUAAAAGUCCAGUCACCCUAUCCAGUUGGGAAAAGAUUUUGUUUUUAGAAAGAGUGCACAAGGCCAAUUCAGGGUAAGCCACAGGGUGUUAUGCAAAAAACGCUGUGGGCCAGCAGGGCCACAUGAUUCAACCCAGCCUUGUGGACAGGAGGCUCCUGCACCAGCCUGCCAGAUCCGUGCUCUGCAGCAUCUGGCCUUUGAGGACACACUUCACUUCCCCCUUCUUCCCUGCUGUGCCUCUCAUUCCCGUGACAAGUUUCUCUAGCUUAAUUCUGCUUCUGAACCCCUCCUGAUGUUGGAGUCCUGUUGUGCAGCUAAAUAGCAUUAGGUUUUCCCAUGGAUUGGCAAAUUUCUGUAGAGUCCCUUAGACAUUAAGUGUGGAGUUAGAGCCAUCCCCACCUCCAAUGAUGAUCUCAUCACUCUGGAGGAGCAUGGCUGAGUCUGGAGUGCCCAGAAACUUCCUAGGCAUCUGUGCGCCAGGGUCUGUGAUAAAUCCUGAAAGAGUUUGCAGUUUAUUGUGUCUGCCUUAAAGGAAUCUUCUCUCCAGUGGGGAAGAGUGAUGAGAGAUAAACGUGCCAGACACUAUGUAAACUUAAGGAGAGACACCAAAGUCAGACUGGAGUCUAGGAUGGCGUAAUACCUAGGUUGGGUCCUGAAGAAAGAUGCAACCCUGAAAACCACAUCUGUGUAUGAGGAUGAGCUGAACAUGAGUGACUUGUGCCCCAGAACAAUGUGUAAGUGCAAAGAGGUAACGAAAAGAGUGCCACAGUUAGGGAAGUUUACCAGUUCUAUGAGGUUUUUAUUCUCAAGUAUUUGCACCAGCAUUUCUGAGAUGGAUCUUUGGUAGCUUUCAGUUUUUCAGAUUUCUCUUAUAUUCAAAAAAAUAAAUAAGAGCCAAAAUAUAGUUUCACUAAUUAUAAUUCACUUUAAAUAUUUACACUCCUUGAAUGAAGAUCUUAACUCUCUUACUAAUUCAGUUUAACUGCCAGGCAUGCUAGUGAACUCCUGUAAUCUCAGCACUGGAGAAGCUAAACCAGGAGAAUCACCAUGAGUUCAAGGCCAGCCUGGACUACCUAGUGAACUCAAGUCCAGCUUGAACUAUAUAGUGAGAUCCUGUCUCUAAAACAAUAAAAUAAUAAUAAUAAUAAUAAUAAUUAGCUUAACUGUGCUAUCCAAAAUUCAUUACUGGGUUUAUUAUUUAAAAUUCUUUAAUUCAUCAUACACUGUAAGUUUAAUGGAACACAAAUUUAAAAGUAUGCUAAUGUCUGUCCCUUCUUUCAGCCCAAUCAUCUAUGGAUGCAUGUAGUGGAAUUAUGACCACAUUGCCUCCAAACACCACCACAUCCUCUCAUUCGCAGUCCACUGGCCCAAGGGGUUAAGAACCUUUCCUUGAGGACAUGCCAUAGGUCUUUCUCUUCUCCUGAACCAAUCCCUUUGGAACUGGGACACACACACACACACACACACACACAUACACACACUCCAAGCUCAGUACCCUAGGAACUAGGGUGGGGAAUGCACAAUGAUCUUUCAUGUUAACCCCUUAUUGAUGGGUCUCUCAGAGUAUGAAUGGGGUUCUGCAACCUAACCCUUCCAUUCUGGAUUCCUCUUACUCCACUGUUUGCCACUAUUGACUUGAAAGCACUGCACAUGUGUCUUGAGCUAACUAGUCUGAUAUUAUGCAAAGUAUUUAUUUUUUUCAUUUUCAUUUAUUUACUCAAUAAAUAUUAGCUGAAUAUAAAUUGUAUUCUAAAAAAUGUAAGAAAUGCUGGAAAUAAAUGUAUAAAUAAAACAG